Long non-coding RNA from Bicyclus anynana (squinting bush brown), 2075 nucleotides. RefSeq lists it as uncharacterized. The record is from RefSeq and is a predicted model, not a curated record. The transcript has 2 exons. NCBI's taxonomy places the organism in Eukaryota, Metazoa, Arthropoda, Insecta, Lepidoptera, Nymphalidae.
UCUACAUGAUUGUGCGUCCUUUUAUUAUAAGAGGUCAAUGUUAUGUAUAAAUAAAAUUGGUCCCUGACUUGUGCUAGCGUGUGUACCUAAUUACACAUCUAAACUAAUAAUAAUUGUAACUUACUGUUUACGAAAUCGGUUGUUAUUUCUUGUAGGUGCCAUAUAGUAUUAUGCUUGUGAUUAAUCAGGCAUUUAGCCUAGGAAAUACUGUUUAUUUCAAUACAGUAAACCGCUUUAGUACUAUGCAGUAAUGAAAUCUUUGUAUUACAUAAAAAUUAAGUUUAAUAAAUUUGAAGUGAGUACAUCAACAAAGUACUUCAUCAUUGUCAGCAAAGAUAUUUUUUUUAUAAUUAAAUAUAAAAAUAUGUGACUCUUUAACGAGCACUAUCAGAUUUAAAUAGCAAUGACCAGUGUGCCCAAUGGCAGUUUUCAAUGUAUUCAUACAGUGACUAUCGCGUAAACGUAAACGCAAAUUUCUAAGGAAUUGAAACAGUUGUGCAGAAGGCCUAGUGGCAGUUUGAUACUGUGACGAUCGUGUUAACGUAAACGCGAAUUUAUAUGGAAUUGAAACAGCGCCAUCUAGUGGCACUACUGCACAACUGUAUCUGUAACAGUAUGCAAAUAUUGAAAACUAUUGUCACUUAGUGUAUGCCACUAUUCAUACAGUAGUGCCACUAGAUGGCGCUGUUUCAAUUCUUUAGAAUUUCGCGUUUACGGUAACGCGAUCGUCACUGUAUGAGUACUGCCACUAGGCACACAGAACCGAUGGCUUAAAGUGCACGGGGUUGUGAUACCACCUGCUUCCCAACUCUUGGUUGAGAAUUCAUUUUUCAAAAUAAAUCUCAGUUUUUGACACUUGAACACAGGACCUCGUGAUCUGAAGCAAAAGGCUUAACCACUGGGCCAACGUGGAAGUUGCAAAAGUGACCUUUAUUAAUAAUAAACAAAAUAUAUACGCACAGUAUUACUUAUUGAUACGUUUGUAAACUUGAAUAGGGUAGUUGACACUGUUAUAAAAACGGUCUUAAGUUGUUCAUUAUCGUUCUAUUAGAUCGUAAAAAGUAUAUUGUUUUUUUUGAGACUUAAAUACUCCCAAAUUUAAUUUAAUUUUAAAUUAAACGUCCGAAAACGCUGUCCGCCUUGAUUGUCUAUAUUUUAUCUGUAACAUUACGCAAGCAAGUUUCUUUUACUAGUUUUUGGGCUUAGUUUUUUAUUGAAAACCAUGAUUUUUAAUAUUUACUAAUACUAUGAUGUCACGAAAUUGCGGUGUUUUUGGAAAAAAAUAUAUAAAAUACGCAAUUUUUAACUUGACAUUUUAAAAUAAUCUUUUAGUAAUUUUUUAAAUUAGUAUAUUUCAGACCCAUAAUCCAAGUACUAUACGAAAUUAAUAUUGUUUAUAUUAAACUAGCGGACGCCCGCGACUUCGUCCGCGUUUAGGCCUCCUUAAUCUGGCGCUCUCGCAAAAUUCUUACUUGUGGACCUCUACCACACUGUAAUCUUUGACCUCUACUAACUACAACCUAUGUACCUGCCAAAUUUCAUCUUUAUACGUCAAGCGGUUUUUGAGUUUUCUUGAUGAAUGACCUUUCACAUUUAUAUAUUAAGAUAAUAAAAUAUGAUAUGAGUCAACUACCCUAUUGCACCAUCCUGAAGCUGGCCAAAUAUAGCCUUCAGAAGUUCAGAACUAAUCUAAAUGACUACCUAAGCUAUAUGAUUCUAUUCAUUCAAAUGAUCGCCUACGCUACUUAUUAUUUACAUAUAUAAGAAAACUAGAUUAAUUAUGACAUGUAUUUAAUUAUUUUAUUAACUGAUUAAUUCUUUUCGAAUAAUUGUCACUAAACUAUAGCUUAAUAAAUAAAUAUUUUAAUUACCAUUAAAUAGGUACCAUUAAUAAAUAUUUUAAGUACCAAUAAUAACAACAACUAAAUACCAAUUUCUUACGUUUUAUGGACAUAAAAAUUUCAAUCACAAUAGUUUACCCAUGAAUAAGGAGUUAGAUGUUAAUUUUAAUUAUUUAUUACUACCUACUUAAUAUAAUAAAGUGUUAUAAAUAUAAUUUUGUUACUUCUAAAGAA